This 535-nucleotide ribosomal RNA is filed under the name uncultured bacterium. RNAcentral's name for it is "partial 16S ribosomal RNA". It matches the Rfam family "Bacterial small subunit ribosomal RNA", at positions 355 to 881 of the family's 1533-position model. The record is from RNAcentral.
UAGGGAAUCUUCGGCAAUGGACGAAAGUCUGACCGAGCAACGCCGCGUGAGUGAAGAAGGUUUUCGGAUCGUAAAACUCUGUUGGUAGAGAAGAACGUUGGUGAGAGUGGAAAGCUCAUCAAGUGACGGUAACUACCCAGAAAGGGACGGCUAACUACGUGCCAGCAGCCGCGGUAAUACGUAGGUCCCGAGCGUUGUCCGGAUUUAUUGGGCGUAAAGCGAGCGCAGGUGGUUUAUUAAGUCUGGUGUAAAAGGCAGUGGCUCAACCAUUGUAUGCAUUGGAAACUGGUAGACUUGAGUGCAGGAGAGGAGAGUGGAAUUCCAUGUGUAGCGGUGAAAUGCGUAGAUAUAUGGAGGAACACCGGUGGCGAAAGCGGCUCUCUGGCCUGUAACUGACACUGAGGCUCGAAAGCGUGGGGAGCAAACAGGAUUAGAUACCCUGGUAGUCCACGCCGUAAACGAUGAGUGCUAGAUGUAGGGAGCUAUAAGUUCUCUGUAUCGCAGCUAACGCAAUAAGCACUCCGCCUGGGGGAGU